GAAGCAGUAAAGAAACAGGAAAAUCAACUUCAAAUGCACUCUUCAUUUCAGUGAACUUUCACUUACAUUAUAUGCUAAACAGUCAUUUCUCGAUCAUAGCUAAGAAAGUAUCUGGAAAUUUGAAAGAAAAGCAUAGGUGAACAAUCAGCAAAUACAACAGAAAUCAGCAGCAGAAAUACACCCAUGAACCAGUUUUGGAAACCACAAAAUUGGUUCCAAAUCCAAUGGAAACCACAUGACCCAAAAAAUUCCAAAAACUAAUGUCAACCCAUUUCAAAUAUCAUUAAUGAAGCGUUAUUGUUUUUCAGAAAUUGAAAGAAUCAGAAAAUCCAGAAGAAAAACUCAUUGAAACAGUAUCCUAGUCGUUUGUGAUCUUUUCUUUC
Molecule: long non-coding RNA, 383 nt
Filed under: Nicotiana benthamiana
Lineage: Eukaryota; Viridiplantae; Streptophyta; Magnoliopsida; Solanales; Solanaceae
Description: long non-coding RNA (NBEN_LNC019507)
Source: RNAcentral